AACGCGAAGAACCUUACCAGGGUUUGACAUACAUGUGACAUCCUUCGAAAGAGGGCUCCCUUCGGGGCACAUGAACAGGUGCUGCAUGGCUGUCGUCAGCUCGUGUCGUGAGAUGUUGGGUUCAGUCCCGCAACGAGCGCAACCCCUAUCCGGUAGUUACCAUUUCUACCGAGACUGCCACUCUAGGGUGGAGGAAGGCGGGGAUGACGUCAAGUCAGCACGGCCCUUACAUCCUGGGCUACACACACGCUACAAUGGCCAGAACAAUGGGCAGCCAACCCGCAAGGGGGAGCGAAUCCUAUCAAAACUGGUCCCAGUUCAGAUUGUAGGCUGCAACCCGCCUGCAUGAAGAUGGAGUUGCUAGUAACCGUAGGUCAGCACACUACGGUGAAUACGUUCCCGGGCCUUGUACACACCGCUCGUC
Molecule: ribosomal RNA, 424 nt
Filed under: uncultured bacterium
Lineage: Bacteria
Description: bacterial SSU rRNA
Rfam family: Bacterial small subunit ribosomal RNA
Source: RNAcentral